GUGGGAGGGGGCUUGCCCCCGAUGGCGGUGUGUCAGUCAUGCACUUGGCAACUGACCCACUGCUAUCGGGGGCAAGCCCCCUCCCAC
RNAcentral lists this unclassified non-coding RNA (87 nucleotides) under Pseudomonas orientalis. Lineage: Bacteria; Pseudomonadati; Pseudomonadota; Gammaproteobacteria; Pseudomonadales; Pseudomonadaceae. The record is from RNAcentral.